CCAAUAGCGUAUAUUAAAGUUGUUGCAGUUAAAAAGCUCGUAGUUGAAUUUCGGGGUUAGUAGGUUGGUCAUGCCACUGGCAUGUACUGGCCUCACUGAUUCCUCCUUCCUGAUGAGCCGUAAUGCCAUUAAUUUGGUGUUGCGAGGAAUCUGGACUGUUACUUUGAAAAAAUUAGAGUGUUUAAAGCAGGCUAACGCUUGAAUACAUUAGCAUGGAAUAAUGAAAUAGGACGUUCGAUCUUAUUUUGUUGGUUUCUAAGAUUGACGUAAUGAUUAAUAAGGAUAGUUGGGGGCCUUAGUAUUCAAUUGUCAGAGGUGAAAUUCUUGGAUUUAUUGAAGACUAACUACUGGAAAAGCAUUUGCCAAGGAUGUUUUCAUUAAUCAAGAACGAAAGUUAGGGGAUCGAAGACGAUCAGAUACCGUCGUAGUCUUAACCAUAAACUAUGCCGACUAGGGAUCGGAUGAUGUUAAUUUUUUAAUGACUCAUUCGGCGCCUUACG
This 500-nucleotide ribosomal RNA is filed under the name uncultured Glomeromycotina. Its description in RNAcentral is "partial small subunit ribosomal RNA". It matches the Rfam family "Eukaryotic small subunit ribosomal RNA", at positions 591 to 1092 of the family's 1831-position model. The record is from RNAcentral. Lineage: Eukaryota; Fungi; Glomeromycota.